UGUAAAUACCACUUCGAUCACCUUAUUUAUUAGAUAAAUGAAAAUGAUUAAUAACAAGAAGGAAAUGUAACUGUCAAUCGAUGGUAUAUAUGUUGUCUGAUAGUCUUUAGCAACAGCACACAUCAAGACACAGCAACAACACAAGGUAGCAAGACUGCAAACACACAAUGAAACGAGAAUUUUAAUAUCAAUUGAAAGUUGAUAUGUACUAAUAGUUUUUACUUUGAGAGAGGGAGAGAGUGGUGCCUAGUUACUAUCCUUUCCAAAAGCCAUCACCACCUUUGCUUUUGGUCUUUACACUUAAAGGGUUAUGUUGAGGAUAGCUUGCACCAUCAUUGGUGGGAUAACCGAUAGGUGGUGGUGGUGGUGAAACAUGAUGAUCUUGUGCGUACUCCAUUGGAUGAGCUGGUGGUGGUGGAUAUGCUGUCAUGGCUGGUCGAUAGAUAGCUGCAGACCGCGUAAUAUUGCUAUUACAUAUUACAUCAAACGCUAGAAAGAAUCCAUCAUGUUCUGAAUUAAAAGGUGUUGUUAUACUUACUAGGAACUUGUUGCUGGUCAUAGAGAGACAUUAUUAAAUACCACCAGAGUGAUAUGUGGUUGCAAAGAAAUUGUAGGUUUCUGGAGAAAAUAAGUCUUCAAGAGUGAAAUGCACGUCGAGCCGUUCUUGAAGGUUUAUUUGCAGUAAACGAAAGGACACAUUGCUUCUAGGACGGGGUUAAGUAGAGACUAGAGAAGUCUGCCAAACGCGUGGUUGAAAUUCAGCAAAAGACCUUAUUACUUGCUUGUUGCAUUGCCUUUGUACAUAUGCAAUUUUCCAUAUAUUCCACAUCCAUGAAAUUGACCUCUAAUUUUCUUUCUGUUCAUGGCCUGAACCUUUGAAUCUUGGAUAUUCAACAGGUCGAAAAUGGUUAGCAGGCGCG
Molecule: unclassified non-coding RNA, 920 nt
Filed under: Hevea brasiliensis (rubber tree)
Lineage: Eukaryota; Viridiplantae; Streptophyta; Magnoliopsida; Malpighiales; Euphorbiaceae
Source: RNAcentral